Molecule: ribosomal RNA, 460 nt
Filed under: uncultured bacterium
Lineage: Bacteria
Description: partial 16S ribosomal RNA
Rfam family: Bacterial small subunit ribosomal RNA
Source: RNAcentral
CCUACGGGAGGCAGCAGUGAGGAAUAUUGGUCAAUGGACGAGAGUCUGACCCAGCCAAGUAGCGUGAAGGAUGACUGCCCUCUGGGUUGUAAACUUCUUUUAUAAAGGAAUAAAACGAGGCACGUGUGCCUUUUUGCAUGUACUUUAUGAAUAAGGAUCGGCUAACUCCGUGCCAGCAGCCGCGGUAAUACGGAGGAGCCGAGCGUUAUCCGGAUUUAUUGGGUUUAAAGGGAGCGUAGAUGGGUUGUUAAGUCAGUUGUGAAAGUUUGCGGCUCAACCGUAAAAUUGCAAUUGAUACUGGCAGUCUUGAGUACAGUUGAGGUAGGCGGAAUUCGUGGUGUAGCGGUGAAAUGCUUAGAUAUCACGAAGAACCCCGAUUGCGAAGGCAGCUUACUAACCUGUGACUGACAUUGAUGCGCGAAAGUGUGGGUAUCAAACAGGAUUAGAUACCCGGGUAGUC